Molecule: ribosomal RNA, 372 nt
Filed under: uncultured bacterium
Lineage: Bacteria
Description: bacterial SSU rRNA
Rfam family: Bacterial small subunit ribosomal RNA
Source: RNAcentral
UACGGAAGGUCCGGGCGUUAUCCGGAUUUAUUGGGUUUAAAGGGAGCGCAGGCCGGAAGCAAAGCGUGCCGUGAAAUGUAGAUGCUCAACAUCUGAAUUGCGGCGCGAACUGGUUUUCUUGAGUGCAUACGAGGUAGGCGGAAUUUGUGGUGUAGCGGUGAAAUGCUUAGAUAUCACGAAGAACCCCGAUUGCGAAGGCAGCUGCCCGGAGCGCAACUGACGCUGAAGCUCGAAGGUGCGGGUAUCGAACAGGAUUAGAUACCCUGGUAGUCCGCACGGUAAACGAUGGAUGCCCGCUGUCGGCGACAGACUGUCGGCGGCCAAGCGAAAGCGUUAAGCAUCCCACCUGGGGAGUACGCCGGCAACGGUGAA